Molecule: ribosomal RNA, 253 nt
Filed under: uncultured bacterium
Lineage: Bacteria
Description: partial 16S ribosomal RNA
Rfam family: Bacterial small subunit ribosomal RNA
Source: RNAcentral
UACGUAGGAUGCGAGCGUUGUUCGGAAUUACUGGGCGUAAAGAGUACGUAGGCGGUUAUAUAAGCUUGAUAUAAAAGACUGGGGCUCAACUUCAGGAAUGUAUCAUGAACUGUAUAACUAGAGGCUAAUAGGGGGUGCUGGAAUUACCAGUGUAGCGGUGAAAUGCGUAGAUAUUGGUAAGAACACCUGUGGCGGAAGCUAGCAUAUGGGUUAGUACUGACGCUGAGGGACGAAAGCGUGGGGAGCAAACAGG